Molecule: non-coding RNA, 87 nt
Organism: Thelephora ganbajun
Lineage: Eukaryota; Fungi; Basidiomycota; Agaricomycetes; Thelephorales; Thelephoraceae
Source: the annotation of a GenBank genome assembly
GCCCGCGUAGCUCAAUCGGAUAGAGCGUCAGACUCUUAGCGCACACGGGCGAUCUGAAGGCUGCGAGUUCGACCCUCGCCGUGGGCU